GGGGAGGAUCCGAGCGUUAUCCGGAUUUAUUGGGUUUAAAGGGUGCGUAGGCGGCCUAUUAAGUCAGGGGUGAAAUACGGUGGCUCAACCAUCGCAGUGCCUUUGAUACUGAUGGGCUUGAAUCCAUUUGAAGUGGGCGGAAUAAGACAAGUAGCGGUGAAAUGCAUAGAUAUGUCUUAAAACUCCGAUUGCGAAGGCAGCUCACUAAGCUGGUAUUGACGCUGAUGCACGAAAGCGUGGGGAUCGAACAGGAUUAGAUACCCUGGUAGUCCACGCCCUAAACGAUGAUAACUCGAUGUUGGCGAUAGACAGCCAGCGUCCCAGCGAAAGCGUUAAGUUAUCCACCUGGGGAGUACGCCCGCAAGGGUGAAACUCAAAGGAAUUGACGGGGGCCCGCACAAGCGGAGGAGCAUGUGGUUUAAUUCGAUGAUACGCGAGGAACCUUACCCGGGCUUGAAAGUUAGUGAAGAGUGCAAAGACGCACUCGUCCUUCGGGACACGAAACUAGGUGCUGCAUGGCUGUCGUCAGCUCGUGCCGUGAGGUGUUGGGUUAAGUCCCGCAACGAGCGCAACCCCUAUGUUUAGUUGCCAGCAUGUCAUGGUGGGGACUCUAAACAGACUGCCUGUGCAAACAGAGAGGAAGGUGGGGACAACUUCAAGUCAUCAUGGCCCUUACGUCCGGGGCUACACACGUGCUACAAUGGAUGGUACAGCGGGCAGCUACAUAGCAAUAUGAUGCUAAUCUCUAAAAGCCAUUCACAGUUCGGAUUGGGGUCUGCAACUCGACCCCAUGAAGUUGGAUUCGCUAGUAAUCGCGUAUCAGCAUGACGCGUGAAUAC
Molecule: ribosomal RNA, 839 nt
Filed under: Sphingobacteriaceae bacterium 36_8-04MN5
Lineage: Bacteria; Pseudomonadati; Bacteroidota; Sphingobacteriia; Sphingobacteriales; Sphingobacteriaceae
Description: bacterial SSU rRNA
Rfam family: Bacterial small subunit ribosomal RNA
Source: RNAcentral